CAUAUCAGAAGAUGAAACCUCGAAACAAUCUCAGGACACCUUCUGACACAGUGGCUAGUAGCUAUGUGGGUGAGAAGACAAUUAUUUUCUAAUGAUACU
This 99-nucleotide small nucleolar RNA is filed under the name Sorghum bicolor (sorghum). RNAcentral describes it as "Small nucleolar RNA snoR31/Z110/Z27". It matches the Rfam family "Small nucleolar RNA snoR31/Z110/Z27". From Rfam's summary of the family: This family contains several related snoRNAs including R31, Z27 and Z110. Family members belong to the C/D class of snoRNAs which contain the C (UGAUGA) and D (CUGA) box motifs. The record is from Rfam by way of RNAcentral. Lineage: Eukaryota; Viridiplantae; Streptophyta; Magnoliopsida; Poales; Poaceae.